This is a microRNA precursor of Oryza rufipogon (brownbeard rice), 203 nucleotides long. It matches the Rfam family "MIR812 microRNA precursor family". Lineage: Eukaryota; Viridiplantae; Streptophyta; Magnoliopsida; Poales; Poaceae. The record is from Rfam.
UUUAAGUGCAAUUAUGAGUUUCCGCACCCAACUUUGAUUGCCCGUCUUAUUUAAAUUUUUUUAUAAUUAGUAUAUUUGUUGUUAUGAGAUGAUAAAAUAUGAAUAAUACUUUACUCGUGACUUAUGUUUUUAAUUUUUUUUAAAAAAAUUUAAACAAGACGGACGAUCAAAGUUGGACGUGGAAAAAAAUGGCUGCCUUUAAA